UUUUCAUAAUGUUAGUUGGAAAAGUGGUGGAUAUUUAUUUCGAUAUUUCGCCACGAAAAGUUCGUAUUUUUGAAGGUAAGUUUUUAUAAUUGUUUUAAAUAUGAGUCAAAUUAACGAUUUUUGCUUUAUUUGGUGUUUUAACAACGUUUAGUUAUAUGUUAAUCGCAAUUUGUAUUGACCUGUUUUCCGGGUCAAUGCACAAGUGUCAAAAGUGACUUUCAAAACCGCUGGGGACAAUUGGGUUUAUAAAUGAGUAAAUUAAAUAAAAGACACGCCAUCGUAUUCAGGAAGAGUUGUUCUUUCUAUGAGAAGUUUAAAAAAUGAAUUGUCCCCAUCAAACUGACGAGUAAUCGCGGUUUGAAAAUGGGGCAUUUUCGGUAUACUAUGUCGCCCAUCGCGGGAAUAAUCGACCGCAUGGGAAUUAUGGCGCGAGGAAAAUUACUGUACGAGUCGUUAUUAUUUUUGUUUUAUUUCGAAGAAUGUGCAUAUAUGUCGAUCGUUGUUGAGUUUAACUGCUGCAUUUAAGUUAAAUACACUGUACUUUACCAUUAUUUUUAUAGAAUUCGAAUAUAUUUUGUGAAAAUGGAAUCUGAUGAUGGCAAUGUUGUUUAUAUUGUUGAUCCUAAGUAUGGGAAAAGUUGAACUUAUGAAUUUAAUGCUGAUUUAGAACUGUUAUUGAACAAACUGUUCCUACAUCCUGCUUUGGCAAAUGGUAUAACAUCUAAUCCAGUCAAGUUGUGCUCAUGAAUGGUCAACUGAUUCAAGCAAUGAAACUAUUGAACCAGAAUAAUAAGAGCAACCUGUUAUAUAAAUGUGCCCAUACCUGCCUUUUAAUAGAUACAUAUUUUAGUAGACAUUUUACAUAUAAAUAUUGGUGUAUUGGUGACAUGAAAAUGUUGCAAUGAAUCUUAAGUAUUUACUUUAUAUAUUGUAACUUUGAAUAAAGCAUUUUAUUAACAUCAAUUAUGUAUGACCACUGCAUUUAUGACCACCAAAUAUCAGGGGUGGAUUUACUGGGGGGGUGCACCCCCCACCUAGCCCUGACCAGAGGGUAUGCAGGGGGGGGGUAUUUUCAUGAUAAAGCAAAAAAUAUUAGAGACAAAAUUUGAGUAAUAACAUGAUAAGUAAACUGUUUGUUAACAACUACAAUACUGUAGUCAAGCAAGACUUUGCUGUAGUCAAGUAAGUUGAUGGGUGGGUGGCGCACAUGACUGACACAACUCGGCACCAGAGCUGGCAGAGUACCCUCCCUACCACAACAUACUGGAUCCAUCUUUAGAUCAGUGAUCCAUAUGUGCUAAAUAUACAACAGCUAAAACAGUGUUAAGAACACACGCACAAGGUGGACUAUAAGAUAAAGUAGGGAUUUGAUGACUGCAGUAAACAAACACAGCAAAUUGAGUUUGAAAACAUUUAUUUAUUUGAAAAAGGAAUGGUAAAAUUAUAUUUAACAAUUAUUCGCCGAAGCCAAGGUGAAUAUUCCCAGAUAAUCACAGAGCCUGAGGCAAAUAAUUGUUUUAGUAUUUUUGCACAAGUUUUUUUGUAUUUUUCUGGUCUGAAUUCAUUUUAAUUUCGCUUAUUUCUUUAUUACUAACUUCAACAAAACAGCUAGCCGCCAUUUUGAAAAUUUCGAUUUUGUUAUAAUAUAACAGAUUAAUACGUCAAAUUUG
Molecule: non-coding RNA, 1670 nt
Organism: Paramuricea clavata
Lineage: Eukaryota; Metazoa; Cnidaria; Anthozoa; Malacalcyonacea; Plexauridae
Source: the annotation of a GenBank genome assembly